GGGCCGGCUGGGCCGGGGCCGCGGACGAGAUGGCGGAAGGUGGAGGCUGCCGUGAGCGACCGGAUGCGGAGACUCAGAAGUCCGAGCUUGGAGCCUUAAUGAGGACCACACUCCAACGCGGGGCGCAGUGAUCCUGAGAGUCAGACCUUGAAAGAACACUUAAUUGAUGAAUUGGACUAUGUAUUGGUCCCCACCGAGGCGUGGAAUAAACUACUAAACUGGUACGGCUGUGUAGAAGGCCAGCAACCCAUCGUCAGAAAAGUUGUGGAGCAUGGCCUGUUUGUCAAGCACUGCAAAGUCGAGGUGUAUUUGCUGGAACUAAAGCUCUGUGAGAACAGUGACCCCACCAAUGUGCUGAGUUGCCAUUUCAGCAAGGCAGACACCAUUGCAACCAUCGAGAAAGAGAUGCGGAAGCUAUUCAACAUCCCUGCGGAGCGUGAAACACGGCUCUGGAACAAAUACAUGAGCAACACCUACGAGCAGUUGAGCAAGCUAGACAACACUGUCCAGGAUGCUGGGCUAUACCAGGGUCAGGUGCUAGUAAUUGAGCCUCAAAAUGAAGAUGGCACAUGGCCCAGGCAGACCUUGCAGUCAAAGUAAG
Molecule: small RNA, 601 nt
Filed under: Pan troglodytes (chimpanzee)
Lineage: Eukaryota; Metazoa; Chordata; Mammalia; Primates; Hominidae
Description: processed transcript
Source: RNAcentral